RNAcentral lists this transfer RNA (72 nucleotides) under Gemmataceae bacterium. RNAcentral's name for it is "tRNA-Met". It matches the Rfam family "tRNA". Rfam says of the family: Transfer RNA (tRNA) molecules are approximately 80 nucleotides in length. Lineage: Bacteria; Pseudomonadati; Planctomycetota; Planctomycetia; Gemmatales; Gemmataceae. RNAcentral also lists the same sequence under 1 other name. The record is from RNAcentral.
CCCGGGGUGGAGCAGUGGUAGCUCGCCAGGCUCAUAACCUGGAGGUCACAGGUUCAAAUCCUGUCCCCGGAA